UAGGGAAUCUUCCACAAUGGACGCAAGUCUGAUGGAGCAACGCCGCGUGAGUGAAGAAGGGUUUCGGCUCGUAAACUCUGUUGUUAAAGAAGACAUAUCUGAGAGUAACUGUUCAGGUNUUGACGGUAUUUAACCAGAAAGCCACGGCUAACUACGUGCCA
This 161-nucleotide ribosomal RNA is filed under the name uncultured bacterium. Its description in RNAcentral is "partial 16S ribosomal RNA". It matches the Rfam family "Bacterial small subunit ribosomal RNA", at positions 355 to 510 of the family's 1533-position model. The record is from RNAcentral.